This is a non-coding RNA of Acanthosepion pharaonis, 107 nucleotides long. NCBI's taxonomy places the organism in Eukaryota, Metazoa, Mollusca, Cephalopoda, Sepiida, Sepiidae. The record is from the annotation of a GenBank genome assembly.
UCAGCCAUAUCAUGUUGAAACACCGGUUCUCGUCCGAUUACCGAAGUUAAGCAACGUCGAGUCUGUUCAGUACUUAGAGAGGUGACGACAAUACCAGGUGCUGUAAG